UGAUGAGUGUUAUCCUGGACAUUACAAUUGUCACCAGGACGCUACUUGUGCAAACACAAUUGGCUCUUUCGCAUGCACAUGUAAACCUGGGUAUACAGGAAACGGAGUAAGCUGCGAAGAUAUUGAGGAAUGCUCUUCUGGAAGCAACAAUUGCCACCGGGACCAUGCUUCUUGUGCAAACACCAUUGGCUCCUUCGCAUGCACAUGUAAACCUGGGUAUACAGGAAACGGAGUAAACUGCGCAGGUAAUGAACCAACAACCGAUAUUAGUAGUUAUAAUACAUCUUGUGUGAAAUCUAUUACAUUUCGAUAUUUGAGACUACAUUUUGCAGGAAAAAACACGUAAAAUUUACUACC
Molecule: long non-coding RNA, 357 nt
Organism: Nematostella vectensis (starlet sea anemone)
Lineage: Eukaryota; Metazoa; Cnidaria; Anthozoa; Actiniaria; Edwardsiidae
Exons: 2
Source: RefSeq, a predicted model, not a curated record